GCAUAUCAAUAAGCGGAGGAAAAGAAACCAACAGGGAUUGCCUCAGUAACGGCGAGUGAAGCGGCAACAGCUCAAAUUUGAAAUCUGGCCCCCCGGGCCCGAGUUGUAAUUUGGAGAGGAUGCUUCUGGSGSGGCGCCSUSCGAGUUCCUUGGAACAGGACGCCGGAKAGGGUGAGAGCCCCGUMCGGACGGACGCCUAGCCUCUACKAAGCUCCUUCGACGAGUCGAGUAGUUUGGGAAUGCUGCUCAAAAUGGGAGGUAAAUUUCUUCUAAAGCUAAAUACCGGCCAGAGACCGAUAGCGCACAAGURGAGUGAUCGAAAGAUGAAAAGMACUUUGAAAAGAGGGUUAAAAAGUMCGUGAAAUUGUUGAAAGGGAAGCGCCUGUGACCAGACUUGCGCCCCGCGGACCAUCCGGCGUUCUCGCCGGUGCACUCCGCGGGGUGCAGGCCAGCAUCGGUUCUGCCAGGGGGAUAAAGGCCGCGGGAACGUAGCUCCUCCGGGAGUGUUAUAGCCCGCGGCGGCAUGCCCUUGGCGGGACCGAGGACCGCGCUUCGGCAAGGAUGCUGGCGUAAUGGUCAUCGGCGACCCGUCUUGAAACACGGACCAAGGAGUCAAGCAUUGGGGCGAGUGUCUGGGUGUCAAACCCGCACGCGAAAUGAAAGUAAACGCAGGUGAGAGCUUCGGCGCAUCACCGACCGAUCCUGAUGUCUUCGGAUGGAUUUGAGUAAGAGCCUUACCGCUUGGACCCGAAAGAUGGUGAACUAUGCCUGUAUAGGGUGAAGCCAGAGGAAACUCUGGUGGAGGCUCGCAGCGGUUCUGACGUGCAAAUCGAUCGUCAAAUANGGGCAUGGGGGCGAAAG
This 861-nucleotide ribosomal RNA is filed under the name Masuyamyces saponiodorus. RNAcentral's name for it is "LSU rRNA". It matches the Rfam family "Eukaryotic large subunit ribosomal RNA", at positions 38 to 929 of the family's 3401-position model. Lineage: Eukaryota; Fungi; Ascomycota; Sordariomycetes; Ophiostomatales; Ophiostomataceae. The record is from RNAcentral.